GCUGAAGAACGUAGCGAAAUGCGAUAAGUAAUGUGAAUUGCAGAAUUCAGUGAAUCAUCGAAUCUUUGAACGCACAUUGCGCCCGCUAGUAUUCUGGCGGGCAUGCCUGUCCGAGCGUCAUUUCAACCCUCAAGCCCCCGGGCUUGGUGUUGGGGAUCGGCGAGCCUCCGCGCCCGCCGUCCCCUAAAUCUAGUGGCGGUCUCGCUGUAGCUUCCUCUGCGUAGUAGCACACCUCGCACUGGGAAACAGCGCGGCCACGCCGUUAAACCCCCAACUUCUGAACGUUUGACCUCGGAUCAGGUAGGAAUACCCGCUGAACUUAAGCAUAUCAAUAAGCGGAGGA
This 343-nucleotide unclassified non-coding RNA is filed under the name soil metagenome. Its description in RNAcentral is "partial contains 5.8S ribosomal RNA, internal transcribed spacer 2, and large subunit ribosomal RNA". The stretch from base 3 to 120 matches the Rfam family "5.8S ribosomal RNA", at positions 37 to 154 of the family's 154-position model. The record is from RNAcentral.